ACUCCUGCGGGAGGCAGCAGUGGGGAAUAUUGUACAAUGGGCGCAAGCCUGAUGCAGCCAUGCCGCGUGUAUGAAGAAGGCCUUCGGGUUGUAAAGUACUUUCAGCGGGGAGGAAGGCGAUAAGGUUAAUAACCUUGUUGAUUGACGUUACCCGCAGAAGAAGCACCGGCUAACUCCGUGCCAGCAGCCGCGGUAAUACGGAGGGUGCAAGCGUUAAUCGGAAUUACUGGGCGUAAAGCGCACGCAGGCGGUCUGUCAAGUCGGAUGUGAAAACCCCGGGCUCAACCUGGGAACUGCAUUCGAAACUGGCAGGCUAGAGUCUUGUAGAGGGGGGUAGAAUUCCAGGUGUAGCGGUGAAAUGCGUAGAGAUCUGGAGGAAUACCGGUGGCGAAGGCGGCCCCCUGGACAAAGACUGACGCUCAGGUGCGAAAGCGUGGGGAGCAAACAGGAUUAGAAACCCCGGUAGUCC
This 469-nucleotide ribosomal RNA is filed under the name uncultured organism. RNAcentral describes it as "partial 16S ribosomal RNA". It matches the Rfam family "Bacterial small subunit ribosomal RNA", at positions 335 to 796 of the family's 1533-position model. The record is from RNAcentral.